GAUAAAUAUAAGCAAAUGUUAUAUAUCCACCAAUCAAAAUUUUUUUCACAAAAAAUACUUAAUGAGUACUUUCCUAAAGAAUUUUACAACCAGCUGUUCCAAAAUACUUUUUAAUAUGGACAUCAAUCUUUUAUACCAACACAAUCCAUGGUGAGUAAAGAAUCCACACAAAGUGGAGAAAAAACGACAAGAAAUUUAAAAAAAAAAAAAAUUUGUUUCUUUCAUAUAUCCAUGUUUGAUCAACUUCUAUAAUAUACAUAUAAUCUUAGUAUUUAUAUAUGUGUAAGUUCUUUUAAAUAUUCUUUUAAAUAUUUCUUUCAUAUAUCCAUGUUUGAUCAACUUCUAUGAGAUCAAGUUGUUUGUUACUUCUAUGAAACUCACAGUUUCUUUUUCAUACGUUGAGAUUGGUUUGAUAUGUUCAUAGAUAGACGAAAGAUAUCAGAUGAGCCAGAGUACCUUAUCCUCAUCAUCAAUAUUCACUCCAAUAGCCUCCAGUUCUAAAACAAUGACGUUGAGAACACUCAAAUGGUCUGAGAUUUUCGUACCUACCUCCAUGCGUAAUAAAUGAAAUUGCCUCUUUAGGUGCAACCGAUUUGAGAAGCUCUUCUUUUGAUAUAGUUCUUCUAACUUCUCCUAUAGUUCCUUUGCAGCAGAUAAGCAUUGACACAAAUAGAUAGAAAAGAAGGGAUCAAUUGGACAGAAAUCGUAAUGACAUCACGGUAGUAGGAAAUGUCGCCUUAUGAACAGUGUCAAAACUCUUCUCUUUUAUACCUGAAUUGACCAAAUUUUAUGCAAACAGAUGUAUAUAGAAUGUGUACUAACAUACGUACAAACAUGCAUCAUCAUAGAAUGAAUUGAAAAGUAGAUAUUACGAUAUGUAGACAGGAUGUUUAUAGCUACGUGUACAGACCUGCCUUUUCCCAUCUAUUUCGAAAACAAUAAUGCUUAUUGUACAACACUAGGUUACAACAUAGGAUGACAACAUUUCCUGGACGGUUGUGAUUCAAUGACUGUGGACUGUUGAGAUGUAAAAUAAAAAAGAAAUAAGUCUUUCACCAACUACACUUCAGUGAGGCGGGAAACCAUGACCACAACAUUGUAAGAGAGGCUGGAGACGAUUCUCAGGGCUGAGGUGACGAGGCUAUUGGAAAGGAAAAAACCAAAACGAGUCACCCCUAAUUUGUCCCCACCCAUUUAUGUGACAACAAAUGUGAUGCUGUGAAAUGACCCAUUGAAGAAUCUGGGAAGAGAAAAACUCUUCUUGUGGUAGUCUGAGCAGCAUACCGAGUGGAAACUCGACUAUUAUACUUCUCUAUAUCUUCUAUAUGUGGUUGAUUGCAAGAACCUCACUUUGCUUCCUAAAUUCAGUGGGAUUGUACCUCUGCAACAUGUACAUGUGUUUGAAAGCAAUAGUUUCUAUCCAGUACUUACUAAAUUGAGUGGGAAGGGAACUCUACUAACAUCUAAAUGUGUCCGGAUUCAAUGAUCUCACUUUGCUUCUUUAAAUUGAGUGGGAUGGGAUCAUCUAAAUGUAACUAAAUACAAUAAU
RNAcentral lists this long non-coding RNA (1549 nucleotides) under Olea europaea subsp. europaea. Lineage: Eukaryota; Viridiplantae; Streptophyta; Magnoliopsida; Lamiales; Oleaceae. The record is from RNAcentral.